AGAGUUUGAUCCUGGCUCAGAUUGAACGUUGGCGGCAUGCCUUACACAUGCAAGUCGAACGGUAACAGGUUUUUCGGAUGUUGAGGAGUGGCGAACGGGUGAGUAAUACAUCGGAACGUGCCUAGUAGUGGGGGAUAACUACUCGAAAGAGUGGCUAAUACCGCAUGAGAUCUACGGAUGAAAGCAGGGGAUCGCAAGACCUUGUGCUACUAGAGCGGCCGAUGGCAGAUUAGGUAGUUGGUGGGAUAAAAGCUUACCAAGCCGACGAUCCGUAGCUGGUUUGAGAGGACGACCAGCCACACUGGGACUGAGACACGGCCCAGACUCCUACGGGAGGCAGCAGUGGGGAAUUUUGGACAAUGGGGGAAACCCUGAUCCAGCCAUCCCGCGUGUAUGAUGAAGGCCUUCGGGUUGUAAAGUGCUUUUGGCAGAGAAGAAAAGGCAUCCCCUAAUACGGGAUGCUGCUGACGGUAUCUGCAGAAUAAGCACCGGCUAACUACGUGCCAGCAGCCGCGGUAAUACGUAGGGUGCAAGCGUUAAUCGGAAUUACUGGGCGUAAAGCGUGUGUAGGCGGUUCGGAAAGAAAGAUGUGAAAUCCCAGGGCUCAACCUUGGAACUGCAUUUUUAACUGCCGAGCUAGAGUAUGUCAGAGGGGGGUAGAAUUCCACGUGUAGCAGUGAAAUGCGUAGAUAUGUGGAGGAAUACCGAUGGCGAAGGCAGCCCCCUGGGAUAAUACUGACGCUCAGACACGAAAGCGUGGGGAGCAAACGGGAUUAGAUACCCUGGUAGUCCACGCCCUAAACGAUGU
Molecule: ribosomal RNA, 808 nt
Filed under: uncultured bacterium
Lineage: Bacteria
Description: bacterial SSU rRNA
Rfam family: Bacterial small subunit ribosomal RNA
Source: RNAcentral